RNAcentral lists this ribosomal RNA (460 nucleotides) under uncultured bacterium. RNAcentral describes it as "partial 16S ribosomal RNA". It matches the Rfam family "Bacterial small subunit ribosomal RNA", at positions 338 to 795 of the family's 1533-position model. The record is from RNAcentral.
CCUACGGGUGGCAGCAGUGAGGAAUAUUGGUCAAUGGGCGCGAGCCUGAACCAGCCAAGCCGCGUGAAGGAUGACUGCCCUACGGGUUGUAAACUUCUUUUAUAAAGGAAUAAAGUGAGGUACGUGUGCCUUUUUGUAAGUACUUUACGAAUAAGGAUCGGCUAACUCCGUGCCAGCAGCCGCGGUAAUACGGAGGAUCCGAGCGUUAUCCGGAUUUAUUGGGUUUAAAGGGUGCGUAGAUGGGUUGUUAAGUCAGAUGUGAAAGUUUGCGGCUCAACCGUGAAAUUGCAAUUGAUACUGGCAGUCUUGAGUACAGUUGAGGUAGGCGGAAUGCAUGGUGUAGCGGUGAAAUGCUUAGAGAUCACACAGAACUCCGAUUGCGAAGGCAGCUUACUAAACUGCCACUGACAUUGAUGCACGAAAGUGUGGGGAGCAAACAGGAUUAGAUACCCGUGUAGUC